UUAGGAAUCUUGCGCAAUGGGCGAAAGCCUGACGCAGCCAUGCCGCGUGAAUGAUGAAGGUCUUAGGAUUGUAAAAUUCUUUCAGUGGGGAAGAUAAUGACUGUACCCACAGAAGAAGCUCCGGCUAACUUCGUGCCAGCAGCCGCGGUAAUACGAAGGGGGCUAGCGUUGCUCGGAAUUACUGGGCGUAAAGGGCGCGUAGGCGGACAGUUUAGUCGGGGGUGAAAGCCCGGGGCUCAACCCCGGAAUUGCCUUCGAUACUGGCUGUCUUGAGUACGGGAGAGGUGUGUGGAACUCCGAGUGUAGAGGUGAAAUUCGUAGAUAUUCGGAAGAACACCAGUGGCGAAGGCGACACACUGGCCCGUUACUGACGCUGAGGCGCGAAAGCGUGGGGAGCAAACAGGAUUAGAUACCCCCGUAGUCC
This 424-nucleotide ribosomal RNA is filed under the name uncultured bacterium. RNAcentral's name for it is "bacterial SSU rRNA". It matches the Rfam family "Bacterial small subunit ribosomal RNA", at positions 355 to 796 of the family's 1533-position model. The record is from RNAcentral.